UUGUAGGCCUCCGUAGGUUUUGGUGGGGGCCAUAAAAACAGAAUUGUUACUACCCCAAAAUCCUCAGAGACCCCAAGGAGGCAACUAUGAUGUCCUGAGCUGAGACAGAUGGCACAAGUUAACUUCUGUUAUCUGCCCCAGCAGGCUUCAAGCAAAACGGACCAGGCCCCACCCAGGUGUGGCUUCCCACCAUGGGCUUAAGGGAAGCUAUAGCUGUGCUUGAAAGGACCUUUAUUCAUUCUAAGGAGCUGUUGGCCCCUUCUUCACUAACCUAGCUGUCUGGUAUAGAAGCAGCCUUCCAGACAAGCCCCUGUCGCCGUCCUGGGGUGAGGGCAGAACACCCACACCCCUCCUUGUUACUGGAUCCCUUCCUCCUCCGUCCUCUGUGAGCUGGUCCUUGCGGCUCUGAGUCCAAGUGUGAUCCAGCUCUAUCCAUUGUCUCCUUCUGGCAGCAGAGCUAGGACCCCCUUGGCGGCUGAUCUGUUGCCCUAGUUCCUUUCUGCUAUUUGUAGUGCUGUAUAGGACUUGACAGUUCAUGAAUGUGGAGUGAAUGUUCCUGCGUUCUUGAGAAGCUAAGAGCCUUUAUGCCAGUUAUGCACUUAACUCUUCAACUAGCCUAGCCAUUCUUGUGUGCAAUCACCCUUUUGUUCAGACAAAUUUUUAAUAAUUUCCCCUCUCCUGUUAAUGUGUUUUUAAUGGGGAAAGGUCUCGGUUGGGACCAUGUACCUGUUUGUUGUGUUUUUAAGUUGUUACAGUUUCUAACCUUUGUGUAAAACACUGGUCAGGGUUGCUUCUUCAAGGCUGACAGCAGUGUGCCCUGAGACUGACUGAUUCCUGUGUACCUGUCUUCUGGUAGUUGAUUGUUAAUUGCCCCAAAAAAGAAAAAACGGUAGCUUUGGUGCCAUUCCUAGAAGCUGAAGAGAAAAUUUGCAUGUGCUGGUGGAAACUGCUGAGUGUUUCAACCAGAUAUAACUUCUUACAAGGAAAUAGAGGAGCGUUAAGAUAAAGACCAUAGCAAGAGGGAACCUGUAAGAAUUGACUCACAGUGUUGACUGCUCUGCCUCAAACCUGGGAUCUGAAGGUUGUGUUGGAUUGAAAGACUCUGGAGGCUCUUCCCUGUUCAGGUCAUGGUCAAGUUGUGGAAGUCAAGACCCACCCCAGUUUGGAAGGGCUGACCGGAAGCUGCCUUGGCUUCCCAAGGGCUCUGGGAAUGACCUCACAGGACUUGAGCCCCCACGUUCAGACUCAGCAGGAAAGGAGAAAGAGCAUGAAAUGUUUCAAAAGCACUUUGCAACUUACCAGUAUAUGAAAAUCUGCUGCUGUCCUGAAUAGAAGUUUCUAAAUGCACUGAAGAGAGAUCUUUAUGACAUAAAAGAGAAAAAGUGUUCUUUUCUGUAAAUUAUGGGCUUGUUCGGGGAGAAUCAGCUUGCUCAUGAGGUGGAGAUAAGAUUCAAGACAUAGCGGAAGAGUGGAAGGCAAAUGUUUUCCACUUAAAUGAGGCUGUUGGUGACUUUUCUCUGCCAAGACUUAAGAGUUGUGAUUUGAUCACUGGAAAGGGAGCAAGGAGUCCAAACAAAAGAUGUGUUACGUGUGUGUGUGUGCGCGCGCACGUGCGCACGGCUCAUGUUCUGAACUGAAUCCCCACUUGUGGCUCCCAUACAUCCCAGCAGUUCAUUGUUGUCUUUAAUAAACUAAGCAAAUGGAAACCUA
Molecule: long non-coding RNA, 1710 nt
Organism: Ochotona curzoniae (black-lipped pika)
Lineage: Eukaryota; Metazoa; Chordata; Mammalia; Lagomorpha; Ochotonidae
Exons: 2
Source: RefSeq, a predicted model, not a curated record